GGAGUCGGCCGGGCCACCGCCGCGAAGCGAUUCGGGGAGGAAAGUCCGGGCUCCACAGGGCAGGACGCUGGGUAAUCCCCAGGAAGGGUGACCUUCGGACAGCGCCACAGAAAGCAAACCGCCCCCCUUGGGGGGUAAGGGUGAAACGGUAGGGUAAGAGCCUACCAGAUGCCGCGGUGACGCGGCAUGCUCGGCAUACCCCGUCUGGAGCAAGACCAAAUAGGGAAGGAGGCUGGCCCGGCCAAUCCUUCCGGGUAGGUUGCUUGAGGGUGCGGGUAACCGCACUCCUAGAGGAAUGGUGGCCUCAUGCGACCAAGGCAUGACAGAACCCGGCUUACAGGCCGGCUCCCGUU
This 353-nucleotide RNase P RNA is filed under the name Candidatus Desulfovibrio gallistercoris. RNAcentral's name for it is "RNase P RNA component class A". It matches the Rfam family "Bacterial RNase P class A". From Rfam's summary of the family: Ribonuclease P (RNase P) is a ubiquitous endoribonuclease, found in archaea, bacteria and eukarya as well as chloroplasts and mitochondria. Its best characterised activity is the generation of mature 5'-ends of tRNAs by cleaving the 5'-leader elements of precursor-tRNAs. Cellular RNase Ps are ribonucleoproteins. Lineage: Bacteria; Pseudomonadati; Thermodesulfobacteriota; Desulfovibrionia; Desulfovibrionales; Desulfovibrionaceae. The record is from RNAcentral.